CUGCUAAGUAUCACUGAGUGUUUCAGGGGGUGGCCCGUGCUCACAGGAGGGCCCGGAAGGUGCCCGCAGCCCUGGCCUUGUGCUGGGAGGACAGGUUUAUGGGGCUGAAGAGGUCACUCACACCCAGCCUCUGCCCCUGCUCCUUGGCCUCCUCCCACGGGACCAGGGCUCCUCACAGGCACCUCCUGUGGAGGACAGCUGCUGCCCCCAAACCCGACGCUUUAUGCCAGCAGACCCUGGGGAGGAGGAAGGAUGUCAGUGCCCCAGUGACAGGCCCUGAGGAGGUUCUCCUAGUUGUUGAAUACCCAGACACGACUGUGGCAGCACCCGGGCCAUGCAUGCAGCAGAGGCAUUUGCUGAAAAUUCAGCAUCACUCACGCUGCAGGUGGGAGCAGUCACCCACAUAAGGUGCAAACCGAGCUCAUUGCACCCUGAGCCGUCUCCUGCCAGCACAGAGCCAGGGAGAGGCUGCAUCUUCUAAAAGGCCUUGUGCAAGUCCUUCUACUCCUACCAGCAAAAUUUUGUCUUCCCAUUGCACCUCCUGAAAGGGGUGGUUGAACAGUCUGAGACGACUGUGGUAGACGUGGAGCUUUGCUGUGAUGCCUUGUCCGGCAGCAAUUGGUUCUGAGAGCUGAUUUCCAAGUUGCAAUGCCUUCCUCUGAGAUUUCCUAUGCAUAUAAACAUAACUCAGGUUGAGAAUCCCAAUCUAAUUACCACAUUUCACAGGUUGUGGGGCAUUAGCUGAGCUACAGUAACUAUCUGUGUAUGCAUUCUUAGUUUGCAGCAAAUGUAAAUUUAUAUUUAAAUUGUUUUCUUGACAUAUAAGAUCAGUAACAGUACUUAGCAAUUACUUCUGGAUAACAGUGUGUACUUGCCAGCUAGCUUAGGUGACCUGCAGCAACCUGUUAAGUGCAUUUACUUAUUUGCAGAAAAGAAAGAGGGAGAGUAAUGAACUGAAAAGCCGUGAAGAAGAAAACUCGUCGUCUCGUGACUUCGAUACUGAAUUCAGCCACAACUGUUCCAGGACACGGCGUCGCAGUGAGCUCCCACCUCCCUAAAACACUCUGCUCAUCAGAUCCUGUCAGGCUACACCUCCAUCAGUCCCUUGACUUCAGAAAAGUCCCAGGGCACCCAGACAAAAGCU
This 1144-nucleotide long non-coding RNA is filed under the name Anser cygnoides (Swan goose). Its description in RNAcentral is "lncRNA (ENSACDG00005008646.1)". Lineage: Eukaryota; Metazoa; Chordata; Aves; Anseriformes; Anatidae. The record is from RNAcentral.